Molecule: ribosomal RNA, 120 nt
Filed under: Carassius auratus (goldfish)
Lineage: Eukaryota; Metazoa; Chordata; Actinopteri; Cypriniformes; Cyprinidae
Source: RNAcentral
GCUUACGGCCAUACCAACCUGGCUAUGCCCGAUCUUGUCUGCUCUCAGAAGCUAAGCAGGUUUGGGCCUGGUUAGUACUUGGAUGGGAGACCCGCCUGGGAAUACCAGGUGCUAUAAGCU